RNAcentral lists this long non-coding RNA (333 nucleotides) under Malus domestica (apple). RNAcentral describes it as "long non-coding RNA (MDOM_LNC011240)". The record is from RNAcentral. Lineage: Eukaryota; Viridiplantae; Streptophyta; Magnoliopsida; Rosales; Rosaceae.
AUUAGAGAAAGACCGUAUUGCAUUUGUAGUCCUAAACUGAAUAGGUUCUCCACCUCUUCUGAUUAGCUUGGGUAACCAUGAUAUGCUGCUAGGUGUCACUCAUGGUUUGUGGAAGCCCUAUACGUGUAUAAUCACUAAAGGGAGAAUUGAAAGUAAGUUUCAAUUCACAAUCGAUGUGAAAUGGUUUUAAUCGCCCACUGCCUCGCUAAAAGGAACCUAAUGGAUCGUACACCGUGUAAGGUGGAGAUUGAAGAAACAAUCGAAAUGAGUAAGAAUAAUUAAAUGGUUUAAUUAUUUAUGGCAAGGAUUAAUUAAUAUGUUAAUUAAUCAAAC